This 106-nucleotide small nuclear RNA is filed under the name Moschus moschiferus (Siberian musk deer). The record is from RNAcentral. Lineage: Eukaryota; Metazoa; Chordata; Mammalia; Artiodactyla; Moschidae.
GUGCUUUCUUUGCAGCACAUAUGCUAAAAUUUGAACAAUACAGUGAAGAUUAGCAAAGCCCUUGCACAAGGAUGACACACAAAUUCAUGAAGUGUUCCAUAUUUGU